RNAcentral lists this ribosomal RNA (1372 nucleotides) under uncultured bacterium. Its description in RNAcentral is "bacterial SSU rRNA". It matches the Rfam family "Bacterial small subunit ribosomal RNA", at positions 28 to 1381 of the family's 1533-position model. The record is from RNAcentral.
GAUGAACGCUGGCGGCGUGCCUAAUACAUGCAAGUCGAGCGAACGGACGAGAAGCUUGCUUCUCUGAUGUUAGCGGCGGACGGGUGAGUAACACGUGGAUAACCUACCUAUAAGACUGGGAUAACUUCGGGAAACCGGAGCUAAUACCGGAUAAUAUUUUGAACCGCAUGGUUCAAAAGUGAAAGACGGUCUUGCUGUCACUUAUAGAUGGAUCCGCGCUGCAUUAGCUAGUUGGUAAGGUAACGGCUUACCAAGGCAACGAUGCAUAGCCGACCUGAGAGGGUGAUCGGCCACACUGGAACUGAGACACGGUCCAGACUCCUACGGGAGGCAGCAGUAGGGAAUCUUCCGCAAUGGGCGAAAGCCUGACGGAGCAACGCCGCGUGAGUGAUGAAGGUCUUCGGAUCGUAAAACUCUGUUAUUAGGGAAGAACAUAUGUGUAAGUAACUGUGCACAUCUUGACGGUACCUAAUCAGAAAGCCACGGCUAACUACGUGCCACGCCACCGCGGUAAUACGUAAGUGGCAAGCGUUAUCCGGAAAUUAUUGGCGUAAAGCGCGCGUAGGCGGUUUUUUAGUCUGAUGUGAAAGCCCACGGCUCAACCGUGGAGGGUCAUUGGAAACUGGAAAACUUGAGUGCAGAAGAGGAAAGUGGAAUUCCAUGUGUAGCGGUGAAAUGCGCAGAGAUAUGGAGGAACACCAGUGGCGAAGGCGACUUUCUGGUCUGUAACUGACGCUGAUGUGCGAAAGCGUGGGGAUCAAACAGGAUUAGAUACCCUGGUAGUCCACGCCGUAAACGAUGAGUGCUAAGUGUUAGGGGGUUUCCGCCCCUUAGUGCUGCAGCUAACGCAUUAAGCACUCCGCCUGGGGAGUACGACCGCAAGGUUGAAACUCAAAGGAAUUGACGGGGACCCGCACAAGCGGUGGAGCAUGUGGUUUAAUUCGAAGCAACGCGAAGAACCUUACCAAAUCUUGACAUCCUUUGACAACUCUAGAGAUAGAGCCUUCCCCUUCGGGGGACAAAGUGACAGGUGGUGCAUGGUUGUCGUCAGCUCGUGUCGUGAGAUGUUGGGUUAAGUCCCGCAACGAGCGCAACCCUUAAGCUUAGUUGCCAUCAUUAAGUUGGGCACUCUAAGUUGACUGCCGGUGACAAACCGGAGGAAGGUGGGGAUGACGUCAAAUCAUCAUGCCCCUUAUGAUUUGGGCUACACACGUGCUACAAUGGACAAUACAAAGGGCAGCGAAACCGCGAGGUCAAGCAAAUCCCAUAAAGUUGUUCUCAGUUCGGAUUGUAGUCUGCAACUCGACUACAUGAAGCUGGAAUCGCUAGUAAUCGUAGAUCAGCAUGCUACGGUGAAUACGUUCCCGGGUCU